Molecule: RNA transcript, 9121 nt
Organism: Drosophila rhopaloa
Lineage: Eukaryota; Metazoa; Arthropoda; Insecta; Diptera; Drosophilidae
Gene: Fhos
Gene name: FH1/FH2 domain-containing protein 3
Exons: 20
Source: RefSeq, a predicted model, not a curated record
ACAGCUUAAGUUGUGCUGCUCCCAAAGUAAAUUGAAAUAAAAGCAAAAGUGAUGCGUCCGCCGUUGUCGUGAGGUGGAGAAAAAAGCGGAGAUGGAAAAUGGGAAAAUAAGAAAAAUAUCAACGCAUAAAUAAAGGCGUCGCGUUCGCGAUCGCGUCCGAUUCUGUCGCAUUCGCCGGCUGCAUUCCCAAAUAGAUCGGGGCGCUAUAGCCUAUAGCUGGUUGUAUGCCCGUGGGCACCGCAGUGCGAGUCUAUAUCCCCAACCUGGCCGGUGCGUGCCGGUGGAUUAUGUAAAGUGGCACACGGCCGAACCCAAUAUCUCCGUAUAUCGCCGAGCGCGAAAAAACACAAAGUAAAGGAAACGGAAUGAAAGUUUACCCAAGGAAUAAAUGAAAUGAAAAUAAAAUAGAGAAGGGAAGGGAAGAAGGGUAGAGUGUCGUGAAAGAUCGCUAGAAAUUUGUCGCACGCGCGCGAUUUCAGUAAGUGCAUCUAAUUUAUUUUGCAUCUAUUGCAAUUGAGAGGCGUUCGCCGAGUGCAUCCGCCAGAUACGUUUUCGUAAUUGUCGUCAGUGGUUCGAGUUGCUCCGUUUCGAUCGCGCGAGUGUCCGCCAGAUUGGAUUACCAGCCAGGCCCAAAAUAAAUUAUACAAUUUUUGAAGGGGGCACCAGUGUAUUGUGAACGUGAAUUUUAAUCGGCCCGAUCGAGGAUCGCUUGCCAAAAGCAACGUAAUGUCGUCCUACCGCAGUUAUACCCCUUGGAAAACGAGCUUGGGCAGUUCCUACAAGCCAGGCAGUUCAUCGUAUGGCACUUCGGGCGACUCCACAUCGCGAUACACUUCGCUGGCCACGCCCACCUCCUACAGACCCUCGUUUUCUGGAGGAACGUACCGCCUCAAAAGGGAUCCACCUCCACCAGCCACAAGUACUCCAGUUACAAGCUAUGUCAGUCGCUAUGCAAAGACGGAACCCAAAGAAACAGCAGCUCCAAGUGAGCGAAGCAGUCCGGUUAAGAGGUAUACGGGUACGACUACCAGCUCUUUGGGGAAAUACGUGCGAUCUCGAGACCCGAGUCCAGUGGCCUUGGAACACACGAACCGCAACAAAUCAAGGGAUCCGAGUCCCGUAAACGAUAGUGCCAGGAGUAAGCUGGGAGCCACAUAUCGUGGUGGUAAUACCUCAAGUUCAUCCUCUUCGGCCACAAGAAACGCUUACAGUAGUCGCUAUGGAUCGGGUUCUCGAAUCUCGGGAAAUGGAAGUGCCCUAUCCUACCUGACCACCAGCGAUUUCCAUGCCAGAACUGCCAGCAGGGCCAAGGCCAGUAGAGAAAGGGAACGAGAGAAGGAGAAAGAGCUGGAGAUCGAGGAGAAACCCACAGAGGUUUCCAAGGAUAAGACUCCUGAGAAGCAGCAGGAGGAGCAUCCCGCAGAGGACACAGAAACCAAUGAGACCUUCAUCACCAUUUCCGUAGUCACUAGAGCCACUUCACCCACUUUGCCGGGCAGCACCACUGUACAGCGUACCCGUCGCAUUGAUCCAGCCAAAACCAUCGAGAAGACCAUCCAAAGAUCCACCAAAAGACGUGAGACAACGGAUCAGGAGAUUCAGUCGGAUAGACUGGAUGAUUCCACCAGAUAUCUUCGUUACAGUGCAGGAAGCAGCAUAAGCUCGACAUAUAGUCCACAUAGGGAUAGGAUCAGCAGUCUGCGGUAUAGCGCCAGUCCUUUGAACAGUUCGGGAUCAGGGAAAUCGAGUUCAGUGGGCGAUGGAAAACAGAUUCAGCCAAUACCAGAAAAUGUAUCACCAGCAAGAACCAAUGGCUCUUUGAGCUCUGCCAAGUCUUCAGAAGCCUUAUCUCCGCCUAGAACCAAUGGAUCUGUGAGUUCGGCGAAAUCAUCUGAGGCUCUAUCGCCACCCAGAAGUAAUGGCUCUGUGCACCCAUCAAAGUCCCCAGAAGGUCUAUCUCCAUCAAGAAGUAAUGGCUCUGUGCACCCAUCAAAGUCUCCAGAAGGUCUAUCUCCAUCAAGAAGUAAUGGCUCUGUGAACAUAUCAAAAUCUCCAGAAGCUCUAUCUCCAUCCAGAAGUAAUGGGUCGUCUGGGAACACAUCAAAGUCUCCCGAAGCUGUUUCUCCACCUAGAACAAACGGCUCUUUGAGCUCUUCGAAGUCCACAAAGUCCAAGCUUUCCCCACCGAAGGCAAUACGACUGAACUCUCGACAAUCAUCAGUAGAGAAUUUGGUUAACAAACCACCUGCACCACCCAACAAAGCGGACUCACCCACCAAGACCUGCAGUUCCAGUUCGGGAAGUUCGGCGGUGAAAUGGCCCAACAAGGACUUCCGAAAGUCCUCUUUAAAUGUGGGACCCACUGACAGGCCCCGGAAGUCGCGAACUCCCAGUAGCGGCGGGGAAUCUGAGGAUCUACCCAAUGGAAGUAGUCUAGAGCGGUCACCAAGUGCUGGAUCCGAGGGUAGCUUAGCCUCUGGCAGUUCCUCCAAGAAAUCGACCAAACUAAGCAAUGGCAAGGUGCCAGGUGUUAGUUCGAAACCAAAAGCACACAAAUCCUGCAGCGAAUCAACCACUGGCAAUUCAUCCUCGGCCACCGCCUCCGCUUCGGAUAGCGAGCAGCGGGUCAAGACCGUGAAAAAGCAGGCCAAAAAGAAGGCCACCAAAGAGGGCGGUGCUGGCAAGGUCACCGCCGCCGCCGCCCACAAGCCAAACAGCACCACUGAAUCACCGCCCGCGGUGGCUGAAGUGGUGCCAGCCACACAGACAAGACUGAAGAAGCUAUCGGCGGUAUCGAAUUUUUUCGCCAGCCGUCAGCAAGACGCAAAUAACGAGCCGAUCUUCCUCGAAAGCUCCGAGAGCUCGGGCGAACCGGAGGCUCUUUCGCUGCCAGUGAUCUCGGGCAUCUCGGCGAUCUCGAAGAUUUCGAAAAUCUCUGGGAUCAGUCUGAAUACAGAUUUGCGAACGAAUGAACAGCGAACGACGCCAUCGAGCGAAGCGAAACCCUCACCCCAAACGAAUUCCCAGAGUUCGAGCACACGUUGUCCGCGAGAAAGCACCACGGGAACAGGGACUAGAUUGCCCACCAGCACCAUUAGCACCACCCAGGAGACGAGCCUCACGACCACCGCCAGCCUAACCACCUCCGAGCAGGAGGAUCCCAGUUGGUGGCAGGACACCAGCUUGCAGAUAAACACGGCCUCUGCUUUGGAUCAAAACAAUCGAGGAGAGAUGCCGCCAUACAGAUUGAGGCACAUUGAUUCGGGGGAGGAGCAGGCCUGGUGGCUGCGCCAGGAUGAGCAUGCCGACGAUGACGACACUCUGGCGGAGGAGACCCUCAAUCCGCUGAGUGACGAUGCCCAGGAGCAGAGCAAGGGGACCUGGUGGAGUCAGGAGGAGCAGGACUCCAGCAGCCAGGUGAAACUGAUGCCCAGGAGUAGGCUAUCGCCGGAAAAGGAUGCCUGGUGGCUGCAGGAAGAGGAGGAGGAUGAGGUGUCUCCCAAGGAGAAUGGCGAUCUGAACAACAACAGCGAGCCGCAUGUGGAGGUGACCCUGAGACUACCCUCGAAUGGCAGCCAACGGAGUUCCAAGGGAAGUGCUUCCAAGAGUGGAGGUAAUUCCAAGAGUGGAGGCUCCAAUCCUUGGUGGCUCUCCGGACCCGCCAGAAAGAUGUUCAAUGUGCAGCGCGUGGAGUCGGGCGAAAGAGCCUGGUGGCAGGAGGAGCCCGAAGAGGCACCUCAAGAGGAAAAGGAGAACGAACCACCGCCGGUGAAACCACCCACACCACCACCGCGAAUCAUCAAGCAUUGGGAGUCCGGGGAGCGGGCCUGGUGGCUACAGGAGGAUUCAGAGAGUGCCAAACUACCAGCUCAACCAAGUAGCGAUGAUGUGGAUGUGCAGCCAGUGGUGGAGGGUCAGCAGGACUCCAGGGAUGAAGUGGAUCUGAGGCUGGCACCACCCACAUUGGCAUCUGAAGAGCUGAGCAGCUCCUUUAACUUCAAUGCCUACUCAGAGCGACCACCUCCACUGGGUCAAUGCGCCAGUCCCGUGCGCUGCCCCUCGCCCUACGACAACAUUCCAAGGUCGCAAGUGCAGGAGGCGCCACCUCCUCCCACGCCCACCCUCACCCCCCUGCAGCCACGCUUUUCACCGCAAACACGGCGUGCCGGCGAAAAGCUCUUCAUAUCGCGACAUCAAAACAUCGAUGAGCUACUGGGCGGGGCAUGUCGCCCCCUAAGUCCACUCUUCUAUGGGAACACUAAUCCUGCGGAGGCCGAACUGACUCCUUUGGCCAGCAAGAACAUGUUCCUGCUCGAGGAGGUCACUCCCGACCAGGUGCGAAUCCACGAUAGCACCGCCCAACUGCCGGUCAUCCAACGAAUGCAACGCGAUGUCGAGUGGUUGGAGAAUGGCAGCAGCUUUUACGAGCCACCCAAACAACAACAGCAACAACAACAACAGCAGCCGCGCAGGAUCGAUGAUGCGGCCAUUCAGGUGUACAAGGAUGGCGACUACGGAGCCUAUCUGGACCUGGAGUCAUCGCUGGCCGAGCAGACCGAGGAAAUCGAGGGACUCAACGUCAGCCGGAAGAAUUCCCUGGUGGUGCGAACGCAGUUGAAUGUGCGCGUGCACGCUAUAAUUGAGAAACUGCUGUCCGCGGAGGGCAGUGACCUGCGGCGCGCUCUCUUCUCGCUGAAGCAGGUGUUCCAGGAGGAUAAGGAUCUGGUGCACGCCUUCGUGGCCCUCGGCGGCCUCAAUUGCCUGGUGCGCGUGGGCAAUUGUGCGGAUCAAAACUAUCAGAAUUACAUUCUGCGGGCCCUCGGUCAGGUCAUGCUCUAUGUGGACGGAAUGAACGGCGUGAUGAAGCAUGAGCCGACGAUGCAGUGGCUCUACUCGCUGAUUGCCUCCAAUUACCGAUCCGUGGUGAAGACCGCCCUCAAGUUGUUGCUGGUCUUCGUGGAGUACGCCGAGUCCAACUGCUAUGUGCUGGUCAGUGCUAUCCAUGCGGUGGAUGCCUCACAGGGAACUCUGCCCUGGUCGAAUAUAAUGAGACUGCUUAAGGACUAUGACAAUGCCGAUGCCGAGCUGGUCAUCUAUGCCACUUCGCUGAUCAACAAAACACUGGCGGGCCUGAACGAUCAGGACAGUUUCUAUGACGAAAGUGAUCUUCUGGAGCAGCAGGGCAUGGAAACCGUGAUCCAGCGAUAUAUGUCCAAGCCGGGCACUGAUUUGGAUCUGCUCGAUCAGCUGCAACUUUACGAGGCUGUGCUUAAAUUUGAGGAUGGUGAGUCGGAUGGACAGCGCUUACCGCAGAAUUCCAUGCGUAAAACGCAGCGUUAUCGGCCGGGGACAAACACUACCGAAAGACGCAAGUCGCGACGUCACAGCACUGACAACAGCCCCGCCCCCUUGACCAAGGUCCUGCCCACCACAGUCCUUCGGAUGACGCCCACCCAGGCCACCGUGGAUGAGGACAGUUCCGGGUCCACCAACUCCACGGAGUUCAGCGGGGGACUGUUCAAUGAAAAGAAACCUCGCGAUGGAGCAGGCGUGACUCCAGGACUUCGCAGAAGACGAGAACGGGCGGAGCGGCACAAGAGUUUCCUCAAGGAGCAACAGGAGGCGGCGGCCAAUGGGAUAUUUGCAGCUCUUGAACAGCGCGAGGGUCUGGGCCAAAUUGUAACCGCCAUACCCGCCACCAUCCAAGUCGGGGAAAGUCCGCCGGAGUCUUUGCAACAUGAGGUGUCGUCGCCGUGCAACAACAUCAGUGGUAUUGGCAGCCUGAGUAACAACAAUGUGAGCAACCUCAGUUGCAAUGACACGCCGAACAACAGCCUGUUGCUGAUGAGUCCCAGCAAGCAAUUGCUCACCGGCAGCCACAGCAUCUCGAUCAUCAACAACAGCUUCGACAAGGCGAGCAAUAACAACCAGAGCGAGUUCCUGACCAAAAAGAAUCUAUUUCGGGAGCGCAAUUCAACUGUGAUCAAUGGUAUUAUCAAGAAUAUCCAGCAAACCGAUAGUGCCUACAAGAAGUACGAGAACGAGGCGAAUCGGCUGAACAACUACUACAGUCAGUCGCCGAAGCAUCAGAUCCAUCAGCCCAUUCAGCCAGCGCCGGAAGUGCUUUUGAGUCCGAAGAAAACGCUGAAUGCCUCUGGGUUUGACUUCACGCCCGCUCCGCUGAGUUCCACCCCGGUUAAGUGUGAUGUCCUGCCGGAACCGGAGCCACUGAGUCCGGUUAGGAAACCCGUUGCCGCGCCACCACCACCGCCUCCUCCACCGCCACCGCCGCCGCCACCGCCUCCUGGGUGGUGGCACGCCCCCAUCUACAGCAGCCCGCCAGCUCGAACCCUAACCAGUACUAACCCAGAGCAGCUGCCGUGCCCCGCGGAUCCUUCAGAUAUGGAGAGCGAGGACAAGCAACUGCUGCUGCAGCUGAAGCGGGACCACACCGUCAAGGACCUCACCCAGAAGCUGAGCAACCUGCCCAUGAGUCCCACCCAGGACUCUGCGAAUCGCGCCCUCGUCGGCGACAUGUCCGGCCUCAUUUCGAAAGCCAAAGAGGGUCUGGCCAAGAGCAAGAGCAAGGGGGAGAUAUCCAGAUCAUCUAGUGUGGAUCAGGAACUGAAAAAGUCUGAGCCCAAGAAGUCGGAGAACGAACUGCACUGGGAGGAGUUGGUUAGGAAUAGGACAAGGCCCUUGAAUCUCUGUGAUUUGGACUUCACGGAUCUCAGGGAUGAUGAUGAGAAGGAUGUGCUGGCUCCUCGUAGUCUGGGGGCGGGUAUACCCCCACCACCUCCGCCACUGGGUGGAGCCAUUGCCCCACCACCCAUGAUGCCUCCCAGUCUGAUGCCUCCACCCAUGUAUGGAUAUGGCGGCAGUCUCACAAACAGUUUCAAUUCGCUAAAUGGAUCCAUAAAUGGGGAGCUCGUCAACGGGAAUAACACCAUCAAAAAGAACAAAAAGACGGUCAAGCUCUUCUGGAAGGAAGUCCGUGAGGACAUGAUACCGCAGGUGGUGGGUAAGACCAUUUGGGAUGAGUUGCCUGAUGCCAAUGUGGAUACCCAGAAGCUCGAACAUCUCUUUGAGUCCCGGGCCAAAGACUUGAUGACCAAGAAACAACAAGAGCUGAACAAGAGCAAAGAGAUCAUCGUGCUCGACCACAAGCGCUCCAAUGCCAUCAACAUAGCGAUCACCAAGCUGCCACCUCCGAGGGCCAUCAAAACGGCCAUCCUCAAGAUGGACGCCACCGUGGUCACGCGGGAGGGCAUCGACAAGCUGCUCAACAUGCUGCCCACCGACGAGGAGCGCGGCAAGAUCCAGGAGGCCCAGUUGUCCAAUCCCGAGCUGCCCCUGGGCAGUGCCGAGCAGUUCCUCCUGACCCUCGCCUCCAUCUCUGAGCUAGAAGCACGCCUGAAACUGUGGGCCUUCCGCCUGGACUUUGACAACAGCGAGAAAGAGAUUGCGGAACCCCUGAUGGACCUCAAGCAAGGCAUUGAGAUCCUGCGUCAGAAUCGCACCUUCCGCAGCAUCCUAUCCACACUGCUAUCCGUGGGCAUCUUCCUGAAUGGAGCUCCCGUGAAGGGAUUCCAGAUCGAGUAUCUGGCCAAGGUUCCCGAGGUGAAGGACACCGUGCACAAGCACUCGCUGCUGCACCACCUGUGCCACAUGGUAAUGGAGUCGAGCAGCGAUACCACUGAUCUCUACUCGGAGAUUGGACCGAUUACCCGAGCCUCCAAGGCGGACUUCACGGACUUGGCCCAUAAUCUGAACCAACUGGAGGCGGAGUGCAAGGCGUGCUGGGAUCGCCUGAAACUGAUUGCCAAACACGACUGCCCGCCGCCGUUGAAGCAGAAAUUGGUGGAUUUCCUGGCCGAUUGUGCGGAACGCAUCAUAAUCCUGCAAAUCGUCCAUCGGCGGGUGAUGAACCGCUACCGGAAGUUCCUGCUCUGGCUGGGCAUGCCGCAGCACAGUGUGGCGGAGUCGCGUCCGAACGAGUUCAGCCGCACCCUCUCCGAGUUCGCCCUGGAGUACCGCACCACCCGCGAGCGGGUGCAGCAGCAGCUGGAGAAGAAGGCCAACCACCGCGAGCGGAACAAGACGCGCGGCAAGCUGAUCAUCGACAUGGCCAAGUUCAAGACCAAAGAUGACGUGGCCGAUGACGAGUUGAAAAAACUGCUGGACACAUCUAGUGCAGAUCAGGCUGAUGGAACGCUCACCUGGCGAAGAAGGCGGACGGAGCAGCUCCGUUCACCGAUUACCCGCCAGAGUGAGGAGCAGUUCACCGACGGCGACGAUGAGAUACUGGAAUCUCUGGUCAAGACCGCCACCAAGGCACCAGGAACCCGGACAACUCCCAGGGAACGGAAGCGGACGCGACACGCGGAUCGCAAAUCAUUGAAGCGCAGCCGCACGCGCGAAGGAUUCACAGUUGAAAGAGCACCAUCGCCGUAGAAACCGUUACUGUUAACCGAAUCCGUAACCGUUACCAAAACAACAGCCAACUGUUUUUAGGUUUUACCUUUUUUGUGCGGCGCACGCUGAAGAAUGGUUUGACCGAAGAGGAAAAACAGCACGUGGCUGGUUUAAUACAAACCUAUUAGGAUUAGGAGACUAUUAUCGUAGAUACCCGCAUCACAUCCGAGAUAAUCCCAUCCCCAGUGACGUCACAAGUCGGGCACUACGCGCACAGACUGAAAUUGGCGAUCUCAGGCGAGCAAGCGAACCCAGAAAAUCCCUUUUAUACGACAACGUGCGCAUCAUCAGUACUUGUGUUUUUUUAUUUUGCCACAGCAACAAUAAGUACCAACAACAUCAACGAAAAUGUCCUUAAACAAAAGCGUUUUUCAUCGUGUUUUUCUGUUAUUUAAUUUUUUGUUUUUGCUUCAGCUAAGUAUUAUUAAUUAAACGUAAUUCAAUAAACCUGUAUUAGUAGUUGAAAACGAUUUUAAUGUUAGAAUUUCGAUCGCAAGAAAUUUCGAUAUCCCGAACCACGUCAUUAAAAUUUGUACCAAAAUACGACACGAUUUGUGCUUUCUAAAUUAACUUAAAUUUUAAAGUUAUGUCUAACUUAAUUACGUAAAAAUCAAUAAAUAAAAACAUAUUUAUUACAUACGAAAAA